UUCUCUCUCUCUCUUUCUGGUUUUGGAAGAAAGAACCCUUCGGCUUUCGAUCGCUUGUUUCCCCUUCAUUUCAAACUCGCGGUCCCGCGCUCCGUCUCUUUCUUGAUUUCGAAGAAACCUCACACGGGACGGUCCCCGGAGGUCCGUGAGUCGUCGGAGUGUCCCAACAGCAGGGGGAGUUCUAUGUAUCUUCUUCUGUGAUGCGGGGAGAGGGGCGCUUCUAACGUUGGGUGGGCCGCUCCAUGGCUGGUUGGAGACAUCGGCAUGCAUGCAUCAAUCGCCAUUGAAGAGAAGGAACUUUUUAGGGGCGAUCCACGAAUGCCGGUAAAGAAGGGACUCACUUCUGACGUGGGGCAUCGCCAGUGGGGAAGGGGAUGCUUCAUUUCUGCUGAAACUCGUUCCCCUUCUCCCAGCGUUUUCAGUUUCCUUCCGUGCAGACACUCUGGCACCGCGACCAGGACGCCGAUCUGGAUCUUUCUGCUGUUACAUUAUAAAUUCUUGUCGCCGUCUUUCUCUGCCGUCGAACAAACAUCCCGGUCAUCACCGAUAGGAGGGUCCUCAAGAAUGGCCAUGCAGGGUGGACGCUGCAGCGUGGUUUGCCCUUGUUUGAGGCUCUUCAUCCGCAGCAAUGGUAAAACCCUAGGACUUCCAAGCCCACAUUUUAACCUUAUUUGGAGGUCAAAAACUCCUCUCGCGCUAUUUGAAGAUUUCUACAGAAAAAUGUCGAAAAGAAAGUAGAAAGGAGAAUGGUGCUUGGUGUUUGAAGUUUUCUUAGAUCAGAUCAGUUUCCUCUUGGAAGCAUUCAGUGAUAUUCCUUUCAAGGCUAUCCCAUACCAUUCAUAGGCGUUUUCAAAUUGCACAGAAUUAAAGCUGCUACAAGGAGACAUGAUGUAGCUUUGCUCUUGUUUCAGAACAUAUAUAUCGAUAUAACCGCCAGUUUUUGUUCCUAACUAACUUGAAUGUUUCUUUGCUGAAGUAAGGUGCCAUUGCCACAAAACUGUAAAUAUGCAAUGCUACCUUAUGUGCAGGUCAAGAACCACUGCUGUUUUCAUUUUCAGAACAUGUUUCAUUUUAUAAACAACAAAGAGAUAUUGCUGACAACAAAAAGGCAGUAAGACAUGUUGCCAUUAAAGGACUUUGAUUUCCAAUUGCCUGGUCUGUUGGAAAGGCUCUCGACAAUCCAACGAGCAGUAUCAACUUUCUCUUUCCAGUCGCCAGGUUGAGUUUUUUCCAUCCUGGGACUGUAUAUGCGUUGUGCCUGACCCUCCUUUGUUUGCCGGAAUUGUGGUGAAAUUUCAAUUUGCAAGAGGGAAUCUACAAUAUAGUAUAUAUGCCAAGUGCAAAAUCCAAAACAUGUAAAUAUUGGCUGCUGGCAUCAAAUGUAAUUGGUCCAUUGGAGAGUAACUCGUGCUGGCUUCGGGCAAGGCAUGCAAUACGGCAACGCUGAAGGAUGAUGGCAAUAGCGUUGACGAUAAUUCAAAUCGGAAUGUGGUUGACUGAUCUCUCUCUCUCUCUGACCUUUUUCAAAUGUGACCUCAUACAAAUCUUUGUGCAUCAAAAAAUGUUAUAGUUGAUUUUAUGAACUAUCUAGUACCAAAGCAUAAAAGAAUGGUUUUAAUUUGA
This is a long non-coding RNA of Nymphaea colorata (pocket water lily), 1623 nucleotides long. RefSeq lists it as uncharacterized. NCBI's taxonomy places the organism in Eukaryota, Viridiplantae, Streptophyta, Magnoliopsida, Nymphaeales, Nymphaeaceae. The record is from RefSeq and is a predicted model, not a curated record. The transcript has 9 exons.